RNAcentral lists this ribosomal RNA (434 nucleotides) under uncultured bacterium. RNAcentral describes it as "partial 16S ribosomal RNA". It matches the Rfam family "Bacterial small subunit ribosomal RNA", at positions 29 to 507 of the family's 1533-position model. The record is from RNAcentral.
AUGAACGCUGGCGGUAUGCUUCACACAUGCCAGUCGAACGGACUCUUCGGAGUUAGUGGCGGACGGGUGAGUAACGCGUGAGAAUCUGGCUUUGGGUUCGGGACAACCACUGGAAACGGUGGCUAAUACCGGAUGUGCCGAGAGGUAAAAGAGAAAUUGCCUGAAGAUGAGCUCGCGUCUGAUUAGCUAGUUGGUGAGGUAAAGGCUCACCAAGGCAGCGAUCAGUAGCUGGUCUGAGAGGAUGACCAGCCACACUGGGACUGAGACACGGCCCAGACUCCUACGGGAGGCAGCAGUGGGGAAUUUUCCGCAAUGGGCGAAAGCCUGACGGAGCAAUACCGCGUGAGGGAAGAAGGCUCUUGGGUUGUAAACCUCUUUUCUUAGGGAAGAACAAAAUGACGGUACCUAAGGAAUCAGCAUCGGCUAACUCCGUG